This is a long non-coding RNA of Vombatus ursinus (common wombat), 280 nucleotides long. RefSeq lists it as uncharacterized. The record is from RefSeq and is a predicted model, not a curated record. Lineage: Eukaryota; Metazoa; Chordata; Mammalia; Diprotodontia; Vombatidae. The transcript is spliced from 3 exons.
GGUGGUGCAGAAGACAUCUGAGUGGCACAGUUCUUCCCAAGAGGAGAAAAGGCCAAAGGAGAUGGAUUCCCUAGAGGCCCAGCUGGUUGGCUUGAGGCAGGAGCUGGCGGCCUUGAGCCAGAGGCAAGCUGAGGUGCAAAAAGAAUUACACCUUUGGCCAGAGAAGAUGGUGGCCCUGCGCAAUGAGGUGGAGUCUAAGGUCCCUGGCUGGAUUCAGCGGGUCCUUGGUAUUAAGCAAGAGGAGGUGCAGGCCCAGCUUCAUGACCUGGAGCACAGAAUC